RNAcentral lists this ribosomal RNA (505 nucleotides) under uncultured bacterium. Its description in RNAcentral is "partial 16S ribosomal RNA". It matches the Rfam family "Bacterial small subunit ribosomal RNA", at positions 28 to 507 of the family's 1533-position model. The record is from RNAcentral.
GACGAACGCUGGCGGCGUGCCUAAUACAUGCAAGUAGAACGCACAGUUUAUACCGUAGCUUGCUACACCAUAGACUGUGAGUUGCGAACGGGUGAGUAACGCGUAGGUAACCUGCCUGGUAGCGGGGGAUAACUAUUGGAAACGAUAGCUAAUACCGCAUAAUAUUAAUUAUUGCAUGAUAAUUAAUUGAAAGGUGCAAUUGCACCACUACCAGAUGGACCUGCGUUGUAUUAGCUAGUAGGUGAGGUAACGGCUCACCUAGGCGACGAUACAUAGCCGACCUGAGAGGGUGAUCGGCCACACUGGGACUGAGACACGGCCCAGACUCCUACGGGAGGCAGCAGUAGGGAAUCUUCGGCAAUGGACGAAAGUCUGACCGAGCAACGCCGCGUGAGCGAAGAAGGUUUUCGGAUCGUAAAGCUCUGUUGUAAGAGAAGAACGGGUGUGAGAGUGGAAAGUUCACACUGUGACGGUAUCUUACCAGAAAGGGACGGCUAACUACGUG